UACGGGGGGGGCAAGCGUUGUUCGGAAUUACUGGGCGUAAAGGGCUCGUAGGUGGCCAACUAAGUCAGACGUGAAAUCCCUCGGCUUAACCGGGGAACUGCGUCUGAUACUGGAUGGCUUGAGUUCGGGAGAGGGAUGUGGAAUUCCAGGUGUAGCGGUGAAAUGCGUAGAUAUCUGGAGGAAUACCGGUGGCGAAGGCGGCAUCCUGGACCAUUACUGACGCUGAGGCGCGAAAGCUAGGGGAGCAAACGGG
This 253-nucleotide ribosomal RNA is filed under the name uncultured bacterium. RNAcentral's name for it is "partial 16S ribosomal RNA". It matches the Rfam family "Bacterial small subunit ribosomal RNA", at positions 524 to 776 of the family's 1533-position model. The record is from RNAcentral.